RNAcentral lists this ribosomal RNA (497 nucleotides) under uncultured bacterium. RNAcentral's name for it is "partial 16S ribosomal RNA". It matches the Rfam family "Bacterial small subunit ribosomal RNA", at positions 28 to 507 of the family's 1533-position model. The record is from RNAcentral.
GAUGAACGCUGGCGGCGUGCCUAAUACAUGCAAGUCGAGCGAACAGACGAGGAGCUUGCUCCUCUGACGUUAGCGGCGGACGGGUGAGUAACACGUGGAUAACCUACCUAUAAUACUGGGAUAACUUCGGGAAACCGGAGCUAAUACCGGAUAAUAUAUUGAACCGCAUGGUUCAAUAGUGAAAGACGGUUUUGCUGUCACUUAUAGAUGGAUCCGCGCCGCAUUAGCUAGUUGGUAAGGUAACGGCUUACCAAGGCAACGAUGCGUAGCCGACCUGAGAGGGUGAUCGACCACACUGGAACUGAGACACGGUCCAGACUCCUACGGGAGGCAGCAGUAGGGAAUCUUCCGCAAAGGGCGAAAGCCUGACGGAGCAACGCCGCGUGAGUGAUGAAGGUCUUCGGAUCGUAAAACUCUGUUAUUAGGGAAGAACAAAUGUGUAAGUAACUAUGCACGUCUUGACGGUACCUAAUCAGAAAGCCACGGCUAACUACGUG